RNAcentral lists this ribosomal RNA (253 nucleotides) under uncultured bacterium. RNAcentral describes it as "partial 16S ribosomal RNA". It matches the Rfam family "Bacterial small subunit ribosomal RNA", at positions 524 to 776 of the family's 1533-position model. The record is from RNAcentral.
UACGUAGGGACCAAGCGUUGUUCGGAUUUACUGGGCGUAAAGGGCGCGUAGGCGCGGUGGUAAGUCCCUUGUGAAAUCUCCGAGCUUAACUCGGAACGGCCAAGUGAUACUGCUGCGCUAGAGUGCAGAAGGGGCAAUCGGAAUUCUUGGUGUAGCGGUGAAAUGCGUAGAUAUCAAGAGGAACACCUGAGGUGAAGACGGGUUGCUGGGCUGACACUGACGCUGAGGCGCGAAAGCCAGGGGAGCAAACGGG